CCGCCUCUAAACUCCCUUCAUCCCCCAAAAACCUCUCUAGCCCUCCGAAAUCCUAACUCUAUUCCACCAAUCUCCGUUCAUUUUUCAACUGAAUCCAUGGCAACCCUGGCCAUGGGUGGCUUGUGCUCGCUCUCCAUCACCACUAACUUAAGCUAUUCGAAGUUUGGAGGCCUGACUUCCAUGGUCUCCUUUAGAUCUGUCUCGGAUCUGCAAGAUCCAUGGCCUCUCCGUCUAUUUUUCGGAAUAUUCAAAGCAGGAUGAGUCUCUCCGACUCAAUAUUUGACUUCCCUCAAGACCUUCUUAUCCUAGGGUCUUCUCUGUCAUUUUUAAGCCUUCUAAGGUUCUUUAUUCGUCUAUUUCUUUCAUAUUUAUGACGUGUUUGGUUUUUAACUGACAUUUUACAGCAUUUCCCCAAAUUUCCUUUUCCAAAAUUGUUCGAAUCCGAUUUUUAGGGUUUCUGGGAAAAGCUUCUAGAUGUUUUCUGAUGUGUGUUUAUGCUCGCUUGUUUAUUUCUUAUUAUGUUCAAGUUUGUUCUCUUAUUUCUUUCCUAAUUUUGCAAAGAUUCUUUUCUGUUAUUUGUUCACAUGUAACUUAGGUCGUUGCUCCUCACUCUUUGCCAUAUGUGUUUAAGUUCA
This 635-nucleotide long non-coding RNA is filed under the name Nicotiana benthamiana. RNAcentral's name for it is "long non-coding RNA (NBEN_LNC027259)". Lineage: Eukaryota; Viridiplantae; Streptophyta; Magnoliopsida; Solanales; Solanaceae. The record is from RNAcentral.